This 460-nucleotide ribosomal RNA is filed under the name uncultured bacterium. Its description in RNAcentral is "partial 16S ribosomal RNA". It matches the Rfam family "Bacterial small subunit ribosomal RNA", at positions 338 to 795 of the family's 1533-position model. The record is from RNAcentral.
CCUACGGGUGGCAGCAGUGAGGAAUAUUGGUCAAUGGACGAGAGUCUGAACCAGCCAAGUAGCGUGAAGGAUGACUGCCCUAUGGGUUGUAAACUUCUUUUAUAUGGGAAUAAAAUGUUCCACGUGUGGGGUUUUGUAUGUACCAUAUGAAUAAGGAUCGGCUAACUCCGUGCCAGCAGCGGCGGUAAUACGGAGGGUCCGAGCGUUAUCCGGAUUUAUUGGGUUUAAAGGGAGCGUAGGUGGAUUGUUAAGUCAGUUGUGAAAGUUUGCGGCUCAACCGGAAAAUUGCAGUUGAUACUGGCAGUCUUGAGUAUAGGAGAGGUGAGCGGAAUUCGUGGUGUAGCGGUGAAAUGCUUAGAUAUCACGAAGAACUCCGGUUGCGAAGGCAGCUAACUGGACUGCAACUGACACUGAGGCGCGAAAGUGUGGGUAGCAAACAGGAUUAGAUACCCGUGUAGUC